RNAcentral lists this ribosomal RNA (253 nucleotides) under uncultured bacterium. Its description in RNAcentral is "partial 16S ribosomal RNA". It matches the Rfam family "Bacterial small subunit ribosomal RNA", at positions 524 to 776 of the family's 1533-position model. The record is from RNAcentral.
UACGGAGGGUGCGAGCGUUAAUCGGAAUUACUGGGCGUAAAGCGCGCGUAGGCGGUUUGUUAAGUCGGAUGUGAAAGCCCCGGGCUCAACCUGGGAACUGCACCCGAUACUGGCCGACUUGAGUGCGAGAGAGGGAGGUAGAAUUCCAUGUGUAGCGGUGAAAUGCGUAGAUAUAUGGAGGAAUACCGGUGGCGAAGGCGGCCUCCUGGCUCGACACUGACGCUGAGGUGCGGAAGCGUGGGUAGCAAACAGG